AUUGAACGCUGGCGGCAUGCUUUACACAUGCCAGUCGAACGGCAGCGCGGGCUUCGGCCUGGCGGCGAGUGGCGAACGGGUGAGUAAUACAUCGGAACGUGCCCAGUAGUGGGGGAUAGCUCGGCGAAAGCCGGAUUAAUACCGCAUACGACCUGAGGGUGAAAGCGGGGGAUCUUCGGACCUCGCGCUAUUGGAGCGGCCGAUGGCAGAUUAGCUAGUUGGUGGGGUAAAGGCCUACCAAGGCGACGAUCUGUAGCUGGUCUGAGAGGACGACCAGCCACACUGGGACUGAGACACGGCCCAGACUCCUACGGGAGGCAGCAGUGGGGAAUUUUGGACAAUGGGCGAAAGCCUGCUCCAGCAAUGCCGCGUGUGUGAUGAAGGCCUUCGUGUUGUAAAGCACUUUUGGCGGGAACGAAAAGGACUGUGCCAAGACCACGGUUCGAUGACGGUACCCGAAGAAUAAGCACCGGCUAACUACGU
This 483-nucleotide ribosomal RNA is filed under the name uncultured bacterium. RNAcentral's name for it is "partial 16S ribosomal RNA". It matches the Rfam family "Bacterial small subunit ribosomal RNA", at positions 29 to 506 of the family's 1533-position model. The record is from RNAcentral.